GAUGAACGCUGGCGGCGUGCCUAAUACAUGCAAGUCGAGCGAACGGACGAGAAGCUUGCUUCUCUGAUGUUAGCGGCGGACGGGUGAGUAAUACGUGGAUAACCUACCUAUAAGACGGGGAUAACUUCGGGAAACCGGAGCUAAUACCGGAUAAUAUUUUGAACCGCAUGGUUCAAAAGUGAAAGACGGUCUUGCUGUCACGUAUAGAUGGAUCCGCGCUGCAUUAGCUAGUUGGUAAGGUAACGGCUUACCAAGGCAACGAUGCAUAGCCGACCUGAGAGGGUGAUCGGCCACACUGGAACUGAGACACGGUCCAGACUCCUACGGGAGGCAGCAGUAGGGAAUCGUCCGCAAUGGGCGAAAGCCUGACGGAGCAACGCCGCGUGAGUGAUGAAGGUCUUCGGAUCGUAAAACUCUGUUAUUAGGGAAGAACAUAUGUGUAAGUAACUGUGCACAUCUUGACGGUACCUAAUCAGAAAGCCACGGCUAACUACGUG
This 497-nucleotide ribosomal RNA is filed under the name uncultured bacterium. RNAcentral describes it as "partial 16S ribosomal RNA". It matches the Rfam family "Bacterial small subunit ribosomal RNA", at positions 28 to 507 of the family's 1533-position model. The record is from RNAcentral.